Molecule: small nuclear RNA, 320 nt
Filed under: Vulpes vulpes (red fox)
Lineage: Eukaryota; Metazoa; Chordata; Mammalia; Carnivora; Canidae
Description: 7SK RNA (ENSVVUG00000011163.1)
Rfam family: 7SK RNA
About the family: 7SK was discovered as an abundant small nuclear RNA in the mid-70s but a possible function has only recently been suggested. Two independent studies have found that 7SK RNA binds the CDK9/cyclin T complex (known as elongation factor P-TEFb).
Source: RNAcentral
AGUGAGGUUGUUUGGCUGCAACAUGUGUCACCCCAUUGAUCACCAGGGUUGAAUCAGCUGAUUGGGCUGGCUAUGUGGGUGUCCCCUUCCUCUCUCACACCUCUGUGUGUCUUUCCCAAAGUUUUGCACUGGGUGGAAGAGGAAGAUCUUCCCUGAUAGAACAGGACCAUUUUUUGGUCAAUGGUAUAUAGUAGCCAUGUUUUCAUGAUAGAACCUUCAAACAAGUUCUAAGGGUCCAUUUGUAGGACAAAGUAGGGCAGUCAAGCCUCUAAGACUUCAGACAUAUCCAAAUGAAGUUCUGCAUGUGUCAGUCUGCCUUU